AAAUUCUUUAUGUACUUUGGG
Non-coding RNA from Caenorhabditis elegans, 21 nucleotides. The record is from Ensembl. Lineage: Eukaryota; Metazoa; Nematoda; Chromadorea; Rhabditida; Rhabditidae.